RNAcentral lists this ribosomal RNA (503 nucleotides) under uncultured organism. RNAcentral's name for it is "bacterial SSU rRNA". It matches the Rfam family "Bacterial small subunit ribosomal RNA", at positions 948 to 1461 of the family's 1533-position model. The record is from RNAcentral.
AAUUCGAUGCUACACGAAGAACCUUACCUGGGUUUGACAUGUAGGUGGUAGUGAAUCGAAAGGUGAACGACCCUUCGGGGAGCCUACACAGGUGCUGCAUGGCUGUCGUCAGCUCGUGCCGUGAGGUGUCGGGUUAAGUCCCGUAACGAGCGCAACCCUUGCUCCUAGUUACAAGUGUCUAGGGGGACUGCCGGCGGAAAGCCGGAGGAAGGUGGGGAUGACGUCAAGUCAGCAUGGCCCUUAUAUCCAGGGCUACACACACGCUACAAUGGUCGGUACAAAGGGCAGCGAAACCGCGAGGCGGAGCGAAUCCGAGAAAAGCCGAUCGUAGUUCGGAUAGCAGGCUGCAACCCGCCUGCUUGAAGCUGGAGUUGCUAGUAACCGCGCGUCAGCCAUAGCGCGGUGAAUACGUUCCCGGGGCUGUACAUACCGCCCGUCACGUCAUGGGAGUCGGUAACGCCUGAAGCCGGUAGUCUAACUGGAAACAGGAGACGCUGUCGAGG